GCCCGGGUAGCUCAGUCGGUAGAGCAAGCGAUUGAAAAUCGCUGUGUCGGCAGUUCGAUUCUGUCCCCGGGCACCA
RNAcentral lists this transfer RNA (76 nucleotides) under Rhodospirillaceae bacterium. Its description in RNAcentral is "tRNA-Phe". It matches the Rfam family "tRNA". Rfam says of the family: Transfer RNA (tRNA) molecules are approximately 80 nucleotides in length. Their secondary structure includes four short double-helical elements and three loops (D, anti-codon, and T loops). Further hydrogen bonds mediate the characteristic L-shaped molecular structure. tRNAs have two regions of fundamental functional importance: the anti-codon, which is responsible for specific mRNA codon recognition, and the 3' end, to which the tRNAs corresponding amino acid is attached (by aminoacyl-tRNA synthetases). tRNAs cope with the degeneracy of the genetic code in two manners: having more than one tRNA (with a specific anti-codon) for a particular amino acid; and 'wobble' base-pairing, i.e. permitting non-standard base-pairing at the 3rd anti-codon position. RNAcentral also lists the same sequence under 2 other names. The record is from RNAcentral. Lineage: Bacteria; Pseudomonadati; Pseudomonadota; Alphaproteobacteria; Rhodospirillales; Rhodospirillaceae.